Molecule: ribosomal RNA, 22 nt
Filed under: Fusarium sp.
Lineage: Eukaryota; Fungi; Ascomycota; Sordariomycetes; Hypocreales; Nectriaceae
Description: partial 28S ribosomal RNA
Source: RNAcentral
AGGCUUCGGCUUAGCGUCUUAG